UAUUCCCUCCUAAGACCGCUCACAUCUUUUAGCUUGUGCCUUUUUUGCAGGUGCUUUGAUUCCACUUGUACUUCAACGGUCUGUGAGCUACUUCUAUUCUCUUUAGGAGACUGGCAACUUCCUAAAGGCAGAGCAUGAAUUGGGGGACAAUUGGCCACCAUUAUGGAGUGUCUACUCUGCCUUGCUCUGCACCUGUGGAUCCUCAGAACAAGGAAGCUUGGUUCUUCUCCUUCUGCCCGUUUUGUAGGGGAGGAAACAGUGGAAACUCAGAGGUGCAGACAUGUGCCUAAGGAUAUACAAAAGAUAAGGAGCAGAGCUGACAUCAGAACUCAAGCUUGCAAAUGUGUAUGCGGGCCACCAUGCCACAUCUGCCACCUCUCUCACAGCACUGCUGGGGGAACAGGAGAGGCAUUGGAGGUGGCGGGCUUUGCCCUACUACACAUGACAUACUCAUUUUAAAUAAGGACUUUGAUCUGGAAGCAGGAUAGGGUAUUUAUUGCCUCAACUCAGCUUGAUUUGGGCUCUUCUGUCCCACAAAUGACACCAACCCUCACCGGCCUGAAGGCCUUGCCUGGAAGAGAAGGAGCAGUGGCGUGAAGUCAGAAGAGGUGCGUUUACCUGCCAGCUUUGCCUCUGUUUGUGUUCUCUCCCUGAGCCUCAGGAAUCACAUUUCAGUAAUGGUUUUGCUAUGAGAAUUUGGAAGCAGCAUGUGUAAAAACCCUAGCUCAGAUUGGGCGCUGGAUAGACAUCAGCAGCGAAGAUUCACUGAGUUUGCGCCAGGGCAGGCAGUGGAACAGGUACAUUAAUGCAUAUCCCAAAUCCUCACAGCCACCCAGAAGUAGAUCCUGUUACUGUCAUCACGGCUACCCGAUCAGAAAACUGAAGUUCCGAACAAGGCAAGAACUGCAUUGUGAGUGGAUUUUCAACCCAGAAAUGCACUUUGAAGAGACAUGCGUUCGUAAGAGGUCGCUCCUGAGAAUGUGACAAAAAUCGCUGUGUGCCACCUGGCUUUCUUCUUUGUGAGUCUAUAUCUAGAAGCAGGCUAGAUUGAUGCUCUGUGGUAUUAUUCUAACCAACAGCAAGCUGGGCAUGUUGGCUCAUGCCUGUAAUCCCAGCACUUUGGGAGGCCGAAGCGGGUGGAUCAUGAGGUCAGGAGAUCGAGACCAUCCUGGCUAACACGGUGAA
Pongo pygmaeus (Bornean orangutan) is the source of this 1185-nucleotide long non-coding RNA. RefSeq lists it as uncharacterized. The transcript is spliced from 3 exons. The record is from RefSeq and is a predicted model, not a curated record. NCBI's taxonomy places the organism in Eukaryota, Metazoa, Chordata, Mammalia, Primates, Hominidae.